This 209-nucleotide long non-coding RNA is filed under the name Brassica napus (rape). RNAcentral describes it as "long non-coding RNA (BNAP_LNC016736)". The record is from RNAcentral. Lineage: Eukaryota; Viridiplantae; Streptophyta; Magnoliopsida; Brassicales; Brassicaceae.
UAGUAGUCAGAAGAUUAUGAAGAGCGUCUCAGAUAGAUCAGAAGUGUAAAGAAUACUGUAAGUGAUGAUUUUGAAUGAUAUAUAAAUAAUGUUUUUUUUUUAAAAGUACGGGUUCCAUAUGAUAUUAGUCCUUGUCCGGACGAACUAACUAUCAGGUAUUGCUUUCUUGGGUUGAAAAGCCUAGAGUGGUAUCCGAUAGGAGCGUUGGU